This 244-nucleotide ribosomal RNA is filed under the name uncultured Staphylococcus sp. Its description in RNAcentral is "partial 16S ribosomal RNA". It matches the Rfam family "Bacterial small subunit ribosomal RNA", at positions 96 to 334 of the family's 1533-position model. The record is from RNAcentral. Lineage: Bacteria; Bacillati; Bacillota; Bacilli; Caryophanales; Staphylococcaceae.
CGGCGGACGGGUGAGUAACACGUGGAUAACCUACCUAUAAGACUGGGAUAACUUCGGGAAACCGGAGCUAAUACCGGAUAAUAUAUUGAACCGCAUGGUUCAAUAGUGAAAGACGGUUUUGCUGUCACUUAUAGAUGGAUCCGCGCCGCAUUAGCUAGUUGGUAAGGUAACGGCUUACCAAGGCAACGAUGCGUAGCCGACCUGAGGGGGUGAUCGGCCACACUGGAACUGAGACACGGUCCAG